Molecule: ribosomal RNA, 468 nt
Filed under: uncultured bacterium
Lineage: Bacteria
Description: partial 16S ribosomal RNA
Rfam family: Bacterial small subunit ribosomal RNA
Source: RNAcentral
GACGAACGCUGGCGGCGUGCUUAACACAUGCAAGUCGAACGGAAAGGCCCUGCUUUUGUGGGGUGCUCGAGUGGCGAACGGGUGAGUAACACGUGAGUAACCUGCCCUUGACUUUGGGAUAACUUCAGGAAACUGGGGCUAAUACCGGAUAGGAGCUCCUGCUGCAUGGUGGGGGUUGGAAAGUUUCGGCGGUUGGGGAUGGACUCGCGGCUUAUCAGCUUGUUGGUGGGGUAGUGGCUUACCAAGGCUUUGACGGGUAGCCGGCCUGAGAGGGUGACCAGCCACAUUGGGACUGAGAUACGGCCAAGACUCCUACGGGAGGCAGCAGUGGGGAAUAUUGUACAAUGGGCGGAAGCCUGAUGCAGCAACGCCGCGUGCGGGAUGACGGCCUUCGGGUUGUAAACCGCUUUCGCCUGUGACGAAGCGUGAGUGACGGUAAUGGGUAAAGAAGCACCGGCUAACUACGUG